CAAGACCUUGCGCUUUGGAGCGGCCGAUGUCUGAUUAGCUAGUUGGUGAGGUAAAGGCUUACCAAGGCUUCGAUCAGUAGCUGGACUGAGAGGACGACCGGCCACACUGGGACUGAGACACGGCCCAGACUCCUACGGGAGGCAGCAGUGGGGAAUUUUGGACAGUGGGCGAAAGCCUGAUCCAGCAAUGCCGCGUGAGUGAAGGAGGCCUUCGGGUUGUAAAGCUCUUUCAGCCGGAACGAAAAGGUUACGGCUAAUACCCGUGACAAAUGACGGUACCGGAAGAAGAAGCACCGGCUAACUACGUGCCAGCAGCCGCGGUAAUACGUAGGGUGCAAGCGUUAAUCGGAAUUACUGGGCGUAAAGCGUGCGCAGGCGGUUUUGUAAGUCAGAUGUGAAAUCCCCGGGCUUAACCUGGGAACU
This 423-nucleotide ribosomal RNA is filed under the name uncultured Nitrosospira sp. Its description in RNAcentral is "bacterial SSU rRNA". It matches the Rfam family "Bacterial small subunit ribosomal RNA", at positions 202 to 622 of the family's 1533-position model. Lineage: Bacteria; Pseudomonadati; Pseudomonadota; Betaproteobacteria; Nitrosomonadales; Nitrosomonadaceae. The record is from RNAcentral.